This 2159-nucleotide unclassified non-coding RNA is filed under the name Hevea brasiliensis (rubber tree). The record is from RNAcentral. Lineage: Eukaryota; Viridiplantae; Streptophyta; Magnoliopsida; Malpighiales; Euphorbiaceae.
AGAACGCUUGAAAGGCGAUUAAUGAUCAUCGACACAACCCGAUGUUUUUCAAUCUCACUGCCUGCCUAUGUGCAACUGGUUUGCGUCCAAUGAUGUCAGUGUAAAAGUACAUGAACAAAUUUCUCAUGAAAUGCACCAAUAUUAGAUGAAACAUGAUCGUUUUUCAUACAUUUGUGAUUCAAGAUGAGUAUUCAUUUCAAUAGGGGGUCAUGGAAACCACGUUUCAGCACUGUCUAAGCAAACACAUUAUUCAUCAAUUAUACAUUCGAAAAUUUUGGAAAAGAAAGAAAACUCGUCAGACCAUUUGUAUGCAAUUUCAGCCGCCUCUCAAUAGACAUGGAUGUCUACACUAAUACCUCCCAAAUGAUUGGCCCCAAUUGAGCAGCAGCUAUUCUUCGUACUUAGUUGCUUUCCCAAAAUCUUUUGGUGUGUCUGACAGCGGAACCAGAGACAGGAUAUUCUUGCCAGUGCUCUCUUGCCAGCAACCCGAACUCGAUAGACCACACUUAGAUCCCAUAUCUCUCUUCUCACAGCAUCUGAUUCAUGAGUGGGGUCAAACCCAUCAAGGUCUGACUCUGUAACGACAACUACAGAACCAUCAUCAAAAGCCACAAGAUCCUGUGAUGGUGCUGGCCUUGGAGUUUUCAAGAUGAGAUCAGUUGUGCUAUUGUGAGGACAAUUUCUAACUUUAAGAUUAUAGUAUUCCUGAACAGCCUGCGAUGACAACUGAUAGUUAGCAACCUCUUAUUAAGUAAUAUGGUAUAACAAUUACAGUAACAAUAAACAUGCCAAGAUUAUCGAGUAGCAUACCCCCCAUCUUUUGGUACCACCUAUAUGAUAUGUUCAAUAACAUGAUGUGCCAGGCAAACUAAACUAACCUUAUUAUUUAUUAAGGGAACUCAACAGAUUCCUAAACUUCCUAAUACUAAAUUGCUGUGAAUCUCUCAUCAGCUUGGAUCAGAAAUCUUGCCAGGAAAGUACCUGCCACUGAGCAGAUGCUAGAAGCACCCUUGGCCUGAUUGACCUGACAUAAUCAAAUGCACCAUCAGGUGUCAUCUGCUUGUGUUGCACCUGAAAACAAAAAGUAUCAUAGGACAUCAAGAAUAGACCAGAGAUUACAACAAUGUUAAGUCCAUUUGAGUACUGACCAGGUAACAUAUAACAAUGGUUGUACUGCGCCCCCUACCAGCCUUACAAUGAACAUACGUAGUCCAUCCUUGCAAUACAUUCUCAUGAAUGAAAUCCACAGCUAGGCAAAUAUCAUUUAGGGAUGGUGCAAAGCAGUAGUCUCUUGUAGGAAUGACCAGAUGGUCAAUGCCAUGAGCAUGAUAAAUAGAUGUUGGAACCAAUGUCUCAUAUGGCUCAUUCAAUGUGAUCACACCAUGAACACCAAGCUCCUUUAGGCAUGGAACAUCUGUAGGGAAUGGAACAGCGCCUAGCAAUAUGAACUCGUCGAUCCUAUCCCACCAGCGAAACUCAGCCUGAAACUUGUUCCUAACAACGUUAUAAAGCAAAGUUGGGUAAAACAAAGCCCGUGCCCCUGCUCCAACGAAAACCCUCUUCGCGUCCCACGAAACAACUAAUUCGCUAUUGCUGUUAUUAGCAAUUUCCACGCACGAUUUCUCCUUUGCCCCUCUCUCCACCUCACCGUCCUUCAAUUCCUCAAUAAUCAUAAUAUCCUCAAAACUCAAACAACAAAACCAAAUCACGAAGCCACCCAAAUUUCACAACAAAAAGCCCUAAUUAAAAGUAUGAAUUAUAUACAAAUAUGCAUAUACAUUUACACAAAUUGUCGAUCAAGAGACGGACAACGAAACCUUCACAUCACUAAUAAACGGAAAACGCCGAUAAAUUGCAGAAUUGAUAGAGAAAGGCUGGAAAUUUUUCAGGAAAGAAGGAAACAGAGAGUGAGAACAAAAGAAGAGAUUGAUUUGGAAAAAUUUGAACAGAGAUUUCCAGGAGAAAUCACAAUCACCAUGGUAUGAUUGUAAAACAGAGUAGAGAUCGGUGUUUGGAAACCCUAACCUAGGUUUAGUAGUUCAGGGAUUGCCUAGGUUCUACUCUUACAGCUUUUGAAAGAGAGAGAGAGUUGGUAAAGAAAAUUGAGAGAACGGAGAAGGGAAUGCCAAGCAAAGAGGGGCUGAAGGGAAGAUGUGAAA